RNAcentral lists this ribosomal RNA (253 nucleotides) under uncultured bacterium. RNAcentral describes it as "partial 16S ribosomal RNA". It matches the Rfam family "Bacterial small subunit ribosomal RNA", at positions 524 to 776 of the family's 1533-position model. The record is from RNAcentral.
UACAGAGGUCUCAAGCGUUGUUCGGAUUCAUUGGGCGUAAAGGGUGUGUAGGUGGCGCCGUAAGUCGGGUGUGAAAUUUCGGAGCUUAACUCCGAAACUGCAUUCGAUACUGCGGUGCUUGAGGACUGGAGAGGAGACUGGAAUUCAUGGUGUAGCGGUGGAAUGCGCAGAUAUCAGGAGGAACACCGGUGGCGAAGGCGGGUCUCUGGGCAGUAACUGACGCUGAGGAGCGAAAGCGUGGGGAGCAAACAGG